RNAcentral lists this ribosomal RNA (495 nucleotides) under uncultured bacterium. RNAcentral describes it as "partial 16S ribosomal RNA". It matches the Rfam family "Bacterial small subunit ribosomal RNA", at positions 28 to 507 of the family's 1533-position model. The record is from RNAcentral.
GACGAACGCUGGCGGCGUGCCUAAUACAUGCAAGUAGAACGCUGAAGGAGGAGCUUGCUUCUCUGGAUGAGUUGCGAACGGGUGAGUAACGCGUAGGUAACCUGCCUGGUAGCGGGGGAUAACUAUUGGAAACGAUAGCUAAUACCGCAUAAGAGUAGAUGUUGCAUGACAUUUGCUUAAAAGGUGCAAUUGCAUCACUACCAGAUGGACCUGCGUUGUAUUAGCUAGUUGGUGAGGUAACGGCUCACCAAGGCGACGAUACAUAGCCGACCUGAGAGGGGGAUCGGCCACACUGGGACUGAGACACGGCCCAGACUCCUACGGGAGGCAGCAGUAGGGAAUCUUCGGCAAUGGACGGAAGUCUGACCGAGCAACGCCGCGUGAGUGAAGAAGGUUUUCGGAUCGUAAAGCUCUGUUGUAAGAGAAGAACGAGUGUGAGAGUGGAAAGUUCACACUGUGACGGUAUCUUACCAGAAAGGGACGGCUAACUACGUG